AGGGGUCACCGAGUGCCAGCAUCAUAUGUUGGCUGUCCAGAUGUGUAAAAUACAUCUGUUAGCAAGGGCCGGGCAAGACCGGUGCCAGCCGCCGCGGUAACACCGGCGGCCCGAGUGGUGAUCGUGAUUAUUGGGUCUAAAGGGUCCGUAGCCGGUUUGGUCAGUCCUCCGGGAAAUCUGACGGCUCAACCGUUAGGCUUUCGGUGGAUACUGCCAGACUUGGAACCGGGAGAGGUAAGAGGUACUACAGGGGUAGGAGUGAAAUCUUGUAAUCCCUGUGAGGCCACCUGUGGCGAAGGCGUCUUACCAGAACGGGUUCGACGGUGAGGGACGAAAGCUGGGGGCACGAACCGGAUUAGAUACCCGGGUAGUCCCAGCCGUAAACGUUGCUCGCUAGGUGUCAGGCAUGGCGCGACCGUGUCUGGUGCCGCAGGGAAGCCGUGAAGCGAGCCACCUGGGAAGUACGGCCGCAAGGCUGAAACUUAAAGGAAUUGGCGGGGGAGCACAACAACGGGUGGAGCCUGCGGUUUAAUUGGACUCAACGCCGGACAACUCACCGGGGACGACAGCAAUAUGUAGGCCAGGCUAAAGACCUUGCCUGAAUCGCUGAGAGGAGGUGCAUGGCCGUCGCCAGUUCGUACUGUGAAGCAUCCUGUUAAGUCAGGCAACGAGCGAGACCCGUGCCCACUGUUACCAGCAUGUCCUCCGGGACGAUGGGUACUCUGUGGGGACCGCCGAUGUUAAAUCGGAGGAAGGUGCGGGCUACGGUAGGUCAGUAUGCCCCGAAUUUCCCGGGCUACACGCGGGCUACAAUGAAUGGGACAAUGGGUCCCUACCCCGAGAGGGGUUGGUAAUCUCCCAAACCCAUCCGUAGUUCGGAUCGAGGGCUGUAACUCGCCCUCGUGAAGCUGGAAUCCGUAGUAAUCGCGUUUCAAUAUAGCGCGGUGAAUACGUCCCUGCUCCUUGCACACACCGC
This 976-nucleotide ribosomal RNA is filed under the name uncultured Methanosarcina sp. RNAcentral's name for it is "bacterial SSU rRNA". It matches the Rfam family "Archaeal small subunit ribosomal RNA", at positions 373 to 1349 of the family's 1478-position model. The record is from RNAcentral. Lineage: Archaea; Methanobacteriati; Methanobacteriota; Methanomicrobia; Methanosarcinales; Methanosarcinaceae.